RNAcentral lists this ribosomal RNA (497 nucleotides) under uncultured bacterium. RNAcentral describes it as "partial 16S ribosomal RNA". It matches the Rfam family "Bacterial small subunit ribosomal RNA", at positions 28 to 507 of the family's 1533-position model. The record is from RNAcentral.
GAUGAACGCUGGCGGCGUGCCUAAUACAUGCAAGUCGAGCGAACGGACGAGAAGCUUGCUUCUCUGAUGUUAGCGGCGGACGGGUGAGUAACACGUGGAUAACCUACCUAUAAGACUGGGAUAACUUCGGGAAACCGGAGCUAAUACCGGAUGAUAUUUUGAACCGCAUGGUUCAAAAGUGAAAGACGGUCUUGCUGUCACUUAUAGAUGGAUCCGCGCUGCAUUAGCUAGUUGGUAAGGUAACGGCUUACCAAGGCAACGAUGCAUAGCCGACCUGAGAGGGUGAUCGGCCACACUGGAACUGAGACACGGUCCAGACUCCUACGGGAGGCAGCAGUAGGGAAUCUUCCGCAAUGGGCGAAGGCCUGACGGAGCAACGCCGCGUGAGUGAUGAAGGUCAUCGGAUCGUAAAACUCUGUUAUUAGGGAAGAACAUAUGUGUAAGUAACUGUGCACAUCUUGACGGUACCUAAUCAGAAAGCCACGGCUAACUACGUG